Molecule: ribosomal RNA, 1241 nt
Filed under: metagenome
Description: bacterial LSU rRNA
Rfam family: Bacterial large subunit ribosomal RNA
Source: RNAcentral
UGAAUACGAGAUGCUACGGCGUCGAAGCAGUCUAUGUCAUACUUCCAAGAAAAGCUUGCACUGUCAUAAACAAAUAAUGCCUGUACCAUAACCGACACAGGUGGGUAGGUAGAGUAUACUAAGGGGCGCGAGAUAACUCUCUCUAAGGAACUCGGCAAAAUGACUCCGUAACUUCGGGAGAAGGAGUGCCUUAUUUUAUAAGGUUGCAAUAACAAGAUCCAAGCAACUGUUUACCAAAAACACAGGUCUCCGCUAAGUCGUAAGACGAUGUAUGGGGGCUGACGCCUGCCCAGUGCCAGAAGGUUAAAGAAGUUGGUUAGCAUCCGCGAAGCUGAUAACUGAAGCCCUGGUGAACGGCGGCCGUAACUAUAACGGUCCUAAGGUAGCGAAAUUCCUUGUCGGGUAAGUUCCGACCCGCACGAAAGGCGUAAUGAUUUGGAUACUGUCUCAGAGAGGGGCUCGGUGAAAUAGACUUGUCUGUGAAGAUGCGGACUACCUGCACCAGGACAGAAAGACCCUAUGAAGCUUUACUGUAACUUGAAAUUGAAAUUGGACUUUACUUGCGCAGUAUAGGUGGGAGGCGUUGAGAAUAUUCUUGCGGGAAUGUUGGAGCCAUCAGUGAGAUACCACUCUUGUAAUGUUAGAUUUCUAACUUUGUAUCAUUAUCUGGUCAAAGGACAGUUUCAGGCGGGCAGUUUGACUGGGGCGGUCGCCUCCCAAACGGUAACGGAGGCGCACAAAGGUUUCCUCUGAACGGGUAGAAAUCGUAUCUAGAGUGUAAAGGCAUAAGGAAGCUUGACUGUGAGACCUACAAGUCGAGCAGGGACGAAAGUCGGUCUUAGUGAUCUGACGGUGCUGAGUGGAAAGGCCGUCACUCAACGGAUAAAAGUUACUCUAGGAUAACAGGCUGAUCUCCCCCAAGAGUUCACAUCGACGGGGAGGUUUGGCACCUCGAUGUCGGCUCAUCGCAUCCUGGGGCGGUAGUACGUCCCAAGGGUUGGGCUGUUCGCCCAUGAAAGCGGUACGCGAGCUGGGUUCAGAACGUCGUGAGACAGUUCGGUCCAUAUCCGGUGUAGGCGUUAGAAUAUUGAGAGGAGCCUUCUUUAGUACGAGAGGACCGAGAAGGACAUACCUCUGGUGUACCAGUUAUCGUGCCAACGGUAAACGCUGGGUAGCUAUGUAUGGAGUGGAUAACCGCUGAAAGCAUCUAAGUGGGAAGCCCACCUCAAGAUAAGUAUUCU